This 300-nucleotide ribosomal RNA is filed under the name uncultured Haloquadratum sp. RNAcentral describes it as "bacterial SSU rRNA". It matches the Rfam family "Bacterial small subunit ribosomal RNA", at positions 497 to 795 of the family's 1533-position model. Lineage: Archaea; Methanobacteriati; Methanobacteriota; Halobacteria; Halobacteriales; Haloferacaceae. The record is from RNAcentral.
UGUACUUAGGUGCGAGCUGCGGCGGGAAUGCGAGGAGGGGAUGCGUUAUUAGUACUUGUUGGGCGUAGAAGUUGGGUGGGCGGUGUUGGAAGUCGGUCGUUAAAGCCCCUGGCUUAACCGGGGAAUGGCGAUGGAGACUGAAAGGUUAGAGUUUGGCAGAGGGUGGUAGAAUGCCACGUGUAGCAGUGAAAUGCGUAGAGAUGUGGAGGAACACCGAUGUCGAAGGCAGCCCCCUGGGUCAAAACGGACGCUCAUGCACGAAAGCGUGGGGAGCAAACAGGAUUAGAUACUCCUGUAGUC